CAUCCGAAUUAUGGAGUUGAGAUACAAAAAAUGGAAAAAAAGAUUUUGAGGUAUUAUGAAUCAUAUACUGUUUUCCUUUACUGAUUAAUUAUUUGUGCGUAUGUUUUUGUUAAUCUAGUUACCAAAAGCAUAGGCCUCUUUGCUCGCUCCUCAAUCAGAUCUUUCUCUGGACAAAGCCUUCUCAUGGUCAGUGUCGUUCUCUCCCAAUUUUGCACAAAUCGGAUACGAUAUUUUUAUUAUAGUUUUAUAUUAGUUUUUGGCAUUCUGUGUUGUUUUCUUGCCUCCAGAUUUCGUUGAUCGUUUUCCUCCAAAUUUCUUAAUUUCCAAGAUCCAAUUCCGUUUAAAAAACUUGGUUGUCAGUUUUGAUGCUUCAAUGGGCAUUUAGUUUUGAUUCUUUUUAAAGUUGAGGGCUUGUGGAAAAAUAAAAAAUAAUUCAAAAAUUGUUUUUUUUUCUUGUUUAGAUUUGAGAAUUUGGUCUGGUUAUUUUGUUGGUGGCAUAUUUGUAUUUUCUUUUUUUUUGUCAUCUGGAUAUUGAAGAUUUUAGUUGAAUUUUGGUUCUUUUACAUUUUUUAUGAUAUUCUUGUAACUUCGGUGAUCUGGGUGUUGAAGAUUUUAGUUCAAUUUAGGUUUGAAGAAUUGGGUUGUGGCAGUUUUGUAGCUUUGUCUGAUCUGGUAUUUUGUGGUAGUGGUAGAAGAAAUGUUCUAUGGUGCAGUUGUAUGGGAUCCUUGGCUAAUUGUUGCCCAAAUUGUUUGUCUUCAAUGCCUAUACUAUAUCAGCCUUGGUUUAUCUAUAUCCAUUCUUGUCGGGACUCGUGUAUCACGGAUGAGUCUUGUGUAUUUCUUUGACUUUGCUACAAUCACUGCCUCUACUCUCACCGGUUGGUGUGUUAUUGCUUCAAUUCUGCUGACCUCGAUUGCUGGGGCUGGAUUUAUGCUUCAUAUUGUUGAGAGGGCAAAGAAGUGCUUAGAUUUUUCAGCAACUCUGUACAUCAUCCAUCUUUUUAUAUGCAUCAUAUAUGGGGGUUGGCCUUCAUCAAUCACGUGGUGGGCUGUUAAUGGCACUGGACUUGCAGUGAUGGCUUUGCUAGGUGAAUAUCUGUGCAUUAGACGUGAACUACUAGAGAUUCCGAUAACACGCUACAGAGCAAAUGCUUAAAUAACAAGGACAACUCGAUAAGCAGAACAAUCUUUCUCUGGGAUUGCAACAUCAGUUUCUUCACCACUUUUGAAGGAGCAAAGCUUAUUGGAUACCAAUCUAAUCUGUGACUAAAAGAAUUGUUUUAAACCUAUGAUUAUAUUUCUAUGCAUGUGGGGACAACGGAAGAAGUUUUAGUUGGUGCUCAUUUGAUGGGUUGAUGGACCCCAUCAGACUUGACAUGCGUUGUGUAAGGAAACUGGCCUGGGUUGGUAAAGGGGAAACAGCUUCCUUAAUUGCACAAAAAGAGUUGCAUACCAAAUUUGUUACACAGUCAGUGCAGGACAGGAUGGGUUGGUCAGCAAAAUGGAGUGAGGCACAGGGUCCCAUGGUGUCUUCUGUUAGGGAGCUAUGUUUAACUUUGUUAAACAAAUCACGGUCAUAUAGCAUGGAAAAUUUGGCCCAAGGCAUCAUGCUUUGUUAGUGGCAUGGAGAACAAGAUGAAUGGUCAAUCAGAGAGGACUUUGAUUUAGUGAUCUUGGCUUCUUACUUUUCUUAAUUUUUGGGCAAUUUGUAGCUCUUCUUUCAAAUUGUAUUGAUGGUCAUAGUUUUAGGAUAAAACUUCUGUGGCUCUUCUAUAAUGUACAACAAAUAUACAUUUGUAGUUGAAUAUGUACUUACACAUUUUAGAUUA
Molecule: RNA transcript, 1829 nt
Organism: Mangifera indica (mango)
Lineage: Eukaryota; Viridiplantae; Streptophyta; Magnoliopsida; Sapindales; Anacardiaceae
Gene name: protein SYS1 homolog
Exons: 4
Source: RefSeq, a predicted model, not a curated record